Molecule: long non-coding RNA, 940 nt
Filed under: Mytilus galloprovincialis (Mediterranean mussel)
Lineage: Eukaryota; Metazoa; Mollusca; Bivalvia; Mytilida; Mytilidae
Source: RNAcentral
GAGGGCCUCGGUUGGUCAAAGUUGUUCCCUACUAGACCUGGAGAUCAAUCUUCUGAUAUCUCUCUGGUUUGUCUGUUUCCACCGAGUGGCCCGUUGGUUCUCUCCGAGUACUUCGGCUUCCUCCACCAUAAUAACAGACUUCCCGGUGUCCUAGCACUCCCUUGGUGUUGGGUUGGGAUUGAGUUGUCCUUGUAAAAAUAAUUGUCGUAUAAAUAUACGUUAGUGACACAUCUCUAUUAAUCCCGAUAGGGGGUAUACAUGAAUGCCACUGUACUCUCGCAGCUUUCGAGGGGUUCUUCGGAUAUCGGAGGCAUUUACCAGUACAUACAUACGUUAAUUCCCGACUUGCCGUCUGCAAGGCACUCCGGCUUCCUCUGGCUAUACAACUUGAAUGCUACAAAAUAGCACGUACUUCAAUGGUGCUGAAAUUGGCACUGAUUAAACACAAAUCCACCAAUCUUGAUGUGGAAUAAAAAAAUGUUAUAAAAAAAACUUGGCGUUAUCAGUUGAUUAUCAACUUAUAUGAGUUUGUAUGUCCCUUUGGCUGACAUAUUUUUUGAAUUUAUUAUUAAUAAAUAAAUAAAAGAUGCAUCAUAUUUCAUCUACUCGGUAAGAUGUCAUCAACAAACAUAAUGUGUAUGUGAGUGUGUGUCUAUUUGCUUUUUCCGAUCGUUUAUUAUUCGUCGAUCAAAGGAAUCGGUUUGCGUUUGUAAUUCGGUAAUGGUGUUUGCGUUAAAUCACACCUUUUUGUUACAUACACUGGUCUGAUUUGAUAACGAAUUAAUACUCCGUUGCUAUAGUAUAUUUUUUUAGUGGUCACAGUCGUAACUCUAAAACAAGACAAAUAACAUUGCUUCUGUUAGUUAUGCCUGUAGGAAUAUCAGUUGUGAGCAAUCGUUCUCUGCAAUACAGCGACGAAAAACUUGACGCAGGUGCAAUG